Notolabrus celidotus (New Zealand spotty) is the source of this 587-nucleotide long non-coding RNA. RefSeq lists it as uncharacterized. NCBI's taxonomy places the organism in Eukaryota, Metazoa, Chordata, Actinopteri, Labriformes, Labridae. The transcript has 3 exons. The record is from RefSeq and is a predicted model, not a curated record.
AAAAGCUGAAACCUUCUUGUUCUUUGUUCAAUAAUGGUGACUGAUUUUGCUCUCCAUAUUUGCAACUCUAUGCACAGACACAAAGAAAACAGCAGCCAAAAGGAGGGUAAACCAGGUCAUCGUCAGUCAAACAACAAGGCCAGACUACACGGUCUGUCUAUCUGUCUGUCACGAUGGUCACCGUGUCAGAUUAGGCGACCACAGAGCCACAGAUUUGUGCCGUGACUUGACCCUUGUGCUUCACUGGUUAACAACAUUGACGUGAUGGAGCACAUCAUAAGAGCAGAAACAGACGAACAGGACACCAACAUUAACCCCACACUGACAGUUCCCUGUUCAGAGUGUACCUGAGAGGUGAUCCUUUGGGCGUGGCUACUCCGUAGCCUUUGGAGUCCAGGUUGCCUCCCACUUUCAUGGUGUCGCAGGGCUUCCUCUGCUCAAUGUACUCGUUCAUGGAGGACUCCAGCAGGUAGGCGUACUUCCCCUUUGACUUCCUGACUCUAAUCACUCCCUCAUUGGUGUUUUUCACAAACACAGUGGGGUCGGCACUCCGCAUGUACGACCACAUCUUCUCAAACACUGCUAUC